This is a long non-coding RNA of Gekko japonicus, 2331 nucleotides long. RefSeq lists it as uncharacterized. The transcript has 4 exons. The record is from RefSeq and is a predicted model, not a curated record. Lineage: Eukaryota; Metazoa; Chordata; Lepidosauria; Squamata; Gekkonidae.
AUGACGAACAGAUUAAGUGCACACACAUCAUUGAAUUAAACUUUUCAAGCAAAUAUCCUGGGUCUGUUACUUAGCUUACAACUAUGUAGGUUCAUUUGUUCUGCCCUAAAAAAGUGGGUUUGUUCUAAUAGCUAUACUUAACCAUUAAAUGUAAUGGUUAAUAACUUCUACUGCAUGCUCUUCUGGCUGCCCUCUCUCCCUGGAACCAAGUCACAGUGCAGUCAUAAUCCCUUCCCCAAGUCCUUUGGAACAAGUAUAAACUUUCUGACUAUGGGCAAACCAGCCAAUGUGCUUCACACACCUCCUGAUAUGCUGUCAGCCUUGAAGGCGAAGCGAAAACCGAUUGCUUCGUGGCCUAGGCUGAACAUGAUGUAUUUGUUGUGAACAGCGAGUCUUGUGACUAGAAUAAAAAUUUAAGAUUUUUUUUUAAUGCCAUCAGAGUGAUGUUUCAAAGCUUCAUGAUAAGUGGGUUGCGUUUACUCCUUCACUUACCCAAAAUUUGCAUACAAGUAUGUUCCCUACUAAUUUGCUAUCCUUCUCAAUCCGAUCAGACUUCUCUUUCAACUAUUGCCAGAGCAGUGCUUUCUGUCAAUACACAUCCCGAAGAGUAGGGCACAGUGAGUAGAAGAAACUCAGACACUUGCCAGUAUGAUGCUGGAAUUUCUCAUCUUGUUACUUCUUCUCUAGGCCAAUGAACAGUAUAAAGGUAAACCUAAUUUCAGUAUAGGAAUGGAUUGUUGGACAUUAUAAAAUAAUUCAUCUUGGAUCUGUUGUGAUUUCAGCCAAUCUCCAUUAGGUUUCUAGAAGAGGGGGGUCUGAAAUAUGACAGUUUUGAUUCUGGCCUCUUUAGGCACACCAUCGAGGUGGUUGGGUAUAGAAUGCUGUGGUGAGAUCUCAUUUAACUUUGGGCCAGGACUGCACUCAUCAAGAUCAAACAUAUUAGAAUGUAUUAAAGUGGAAAAUAGGUGGCUGGCCUUUUAGUGUGCUUUCCAUUUUCAGGGGAGAGAGUUUAAUUGCUUAUUUACGUAAAAGGUCUAUAUCCCACCCUUUCCAGAAUUUGCCCAAAGUGGCAGAUUGUUUAUACUCAGGCAAAAUUUGUCAAAUGAGCGUCGGUUUGGUAUUGUGGUCUGGAAUCUACACAUUACUAAGCUGUACGGUGCACUUUUUUCCUUUUGCAAGGACAGAAUAGACCUGAAUCAUCGCGGCCAGGGCUACUGUUGAUUGCCAGGGCAGAACCAGAGGAUGGGUUUGAGGGAUUUCAUCUGUUCCCAGUCUGUGUAUGUGGUGGGAGGGAGUCUUGACAGGGUCCGUCAUGGAAUUCACAACAGCCAUACAGGAAAACCAUUUAAUAUAAUCAUGUAGUGUCUUACCCUUGUUUUGCAAUCCUCAAUAUGAAAUCUGCAAGCUGCCUGUUGUUGGUGCCAGUGACUUAGACCUAGUUCUUUGAUGGAAAUGUGGAGAAGUGUAAGCUGAGGAGAGUGGAUUUACCAGCCUUAAAGACUCUAGGACGUGUGUCUUAGCCAAAGUGUGGAUCGCAGGAGACUCAGACAGGACUUCAGCAGCCUGUUGUGUAUGUGGACCAGUCAGCAUAAUUAAAGAAUGACGAGGCAGCGACAGCACAGCACCAGCUUCAUCUUCCAGAAAAGUGAAAGCAUAAGAUACUAUGCUGGUAGUGAGCUUUUGGACAGCUGCUAGUUAAAACUACCUUUCACUGCUGAAAUAUCGAAGAAAGUCUAGCAAGAGUUCUUCACCAGUUGGAGCCUCCCUGAGUCAUAGCUACUUGAGUUGACCCCAAGUCAUAGGUCUAGCGUUUAGACCUGAAAGGAAGGGGAAUAAGAAUAGGUAAGGUUUGUCUCUAACACUUUUCAUGAAUUAAAGAGCAUCCCUUUUCUGGACAAGGUAAGAAUAAUCUCUUUGACUUGCAGGUCAUAGAAGAACUCCCUGCUGGACAAGAUUUGAAUUUCUUAACCUGUUAGAAAAAUGUUGACUUGGCAAGGGAACUGGUAACUCAAUCAUCUGGAACAUGAUGCCUCUUCAAAUGAUUCAGGCAUCGUGAGUGAAAAACAGGACCCCUUUCCCUGCUUUCAUUCUUGUAAAACGGGGACAAGGCCAAGCUAUAUGCAGCUCAUCACUGCCCAACAGAACAUAGUGUGGGGGAUAACUAAUCCUGACCAUCUGAUCUCUGUAAGGCGAAAGACGACGUAGCGCACAAAUAACAGACAGAAAAUGUAAAUGACACCCAAAACGGAUGGCUGUGGUCUCAAACCUGUGCUGUUCAGAUGUUUACAAUAAAGUGCCAUAAUUUGUCAUGCCUCUCUCUUUUAUUAGUUU